UUAAUCGUAUAACCAAAUAAUGUAGAAAAUAUAAUCUUGGUAUAGAAGAAUACCUAUCACGCUAUAUCCAAUAUAUCUGAAGAUGUCCUAAGGUGCCUAAAUGUUCACCCUCCGAUGUUGAUCCACACAGGAAUGGGUUCAAGACUCUAGCUCCACCAAAACUUAAUUCUAAUUGUUCAAUCCUUCCAAAGGAUUUAAUUGGCUGAUUUU
Molecule: long non-coding RNA, 210 nt
Filed under: Phoenix dactylifera (date palm)
Lineage: Eukaryota; Viridiplantae; Streptophyta; Magnoliopsida; Arecales; Arecaceae
Description: long non-coding RNA (PDAC_LNC010232)
Source: RNAcentral